AGGAUCAUUAACACAAAUUCAAUAAACACUAACACUUUCUUCGAAAGAAGAAGUUCUAUCUGAGUCUGAGCGUAAAAAACUCAGACUUCUUUAAUGGACCUUAUUAUAUUUCAUUCUAAAUGAAUAUAGUAUUUUCCAAAAUAAACUAAGAAAAUUUUCAACGAUGGAUAUCUUGGUUCCCAUAACGAUGAAGAGCGCAGCAAAGUGCGAUAAGCAAUGCGAAUUGCAGAAUUCCGCGAAUCAUCAGAUCCUUGAACGCAACUGGCGCUAGGAGGCUCCCCUCCUAGCAUGUCUGUUUCAGUGUCUGAAAACUUCAUAAAUAUAAACCUUAGUGCAGUUGACGGGAAUUUGAAUUAAUUCAAAAGCUCUCGUCUCCUGUUAAAGAUGUACAUGUGGGUCUUUGGACUCCUCAUCGGAUUGGUCACUGUUUCAGUGAUUUCGAUAGGACGUUUUCAAUUACUCGUAUAC
Molecule: unclassified non-coding RNA, 468 nt
Filed under: Mykophagophrys terricola
Lineage: Eukaryota; Ciliophora; Colpodea; Grossglockneriida; Grossglockneriidae
Description: partial contains ITS1, 5.8S rRNA and ITS2
Rfam family: 5.8S ribosomal RNA (bases 153-306)
Source: RNAcentral